ACUCUCAAAGGAUAACAGCAAUCCACUGGUUUUAGGAACCAUCCUCUCUUGGUGCAACUCCAAGUGAAAGUA
RNAcentral lists this transfer RNA (72 nucleotides) under Rafetus swinhoei (Swinhoes soft-shelled turtle). RNAcentral describes it as "tRNA-Leu". Lineage: Eukaryota; Metazoa; Chordata; Testudines; Trionychidae. The record is from RNAcentral.